Cyanistes caeruleus (blue tit) is the source of this 2221-nucleotide long non-coding RNA. RefSeq lists it as uncharacterized. The record is from RefSeq and is a predicted model, not a curated record. Lineage: Eukaryota; Metazoa; Chordata; Aves; Passeriformes; Paridae.
GAAGCAGGGAAGGGAAGGGAAGGGGGAGCACGGCCGCUGGCUGACUUUGAGGGCGCUGAUGUGGCGCUCACGUGGCCGCGCGGCGCAGGUACCGCGGCGGAGGGAGGGACGCGGGGAGGAAGGGCCUCCCCCUCCUCCUCCUCCUGCCGCCUAUGCCGAUGCUGCUCCCGCCGCCUCUUUCUCUCGCUGCUAUUCCUUGUCUCCGAGUAACGCGUGGAAUCCCCCGCUGGCGCUCCACGAAGCCGACCGAGAGCCUCCCCCCGCCGAGCGCUGCGGAGAACGCUUGUUCCCCUCUGCGCACAAAAGUCUCUGGAGAUUUCCUUGCCCCCGCCGCUCCCGCCCCCUGCAGCGAGAAACCUCCAAAACAGCAAUUCCUUCCACUAUUUUUGUUGUUGCUGUUUUUCUUUGCUUACUUAUUCAUUCAUUCAUUCAUUCAUUCAUUCACGUUUCAACGCAGAAUAAGGUGACGCAGUGUGAAGCAGGAGGAUGAAUUUCAUUCAGUGCAGGAUGUGAUGAGUUCAAGGAGAAGCCCAGAUGUCGGGUGUUAAAGCCCUCCCUCAGGGCUCCUGGAGACACUUUUUGAUGUGGAGUGCCUGGCUAGAGCUCAGAGCAACAUCCAAGGUGAAUACAAAUGUGCUGUGCAGCCAGCCCUCUCUGUGUAGCCCCAGCCAGCGAUCUUCACGAGUUUCACUCUGAAUGCUUCUUUCUUCAUCCAUCUCGAGCUCCAACCAGCAACCACACAGUAAACUCGCCAGAUGAGGUUCCCCACAAGAUGAAAAGGAGCAGUAAAAAUUACGGCUUCCCAAACCAUCCCUUAGGGUGAAUAAAGACAGCUUCUAGUAAAGGAGAGAGAGAAAGUUCCUUGGUCACAAAGUUCUGUCACGGCCCUUCCCCUCAGCUGAUGGCAAUUUAUACAGACAUAAAGGAGUAACUUGCAAAUCAGAAAUUUUCUAGGCCUGAGCCAGGGAGUUUGGACAGAGUAAGUAAAAUCCUGCAACCUGUCUUAAGCUGUGAGGUACCCCUCUAAGCUUUAAGGACAACUGUGGGAAAAGAACAGAGAAACGAAAAGCAAGAAACAAUUUUUCAGGCUAAAAACUUAAAACUAUAUGUCAACAUUUCCUUUUAUACAACAGCUACAUGAAGCUAUGGGAUAAAACUGGCCUGACAGAACAGCUGUCAGGUUCCUGGUCUAUUCCCCACUGCCAGCUCGGCUGGGUCAUUCCAGGGCCUUCAACACAUCCCCCACCCCUGUGUUUCAUUAAAAUGUAAAUGUGCUCUUACAUGCAAGCUGCUUGAAUGGCUGGUCAGCAGAGCGCUUGGGGGAUGUGGGAGGCGCACAGGGGAAGGGCUGAGCCGGCAGACUCUCCCUGACGUGCUGGGAGAACACGUGUGGUAUUCGUGAUAGGCAGUGGUCAUGGCUUUGCUAUAAAACUGUAUUUUCCCAACCUUCAAGCCAAAUAUUUGUUUAAAGGUUAGAAAAUAUUUGCCUAAGAACACUCCUCUUUUCAGUUAUAGGAAACUGCGGCUGGGUAAGCUGAACAGUUUUAUUUACCAGCCUCCUUCAGUUUUCCAUUUUUAUGAAUCAGUCAUUCUCCAUUUUUAGAAGCCUUUCACACUUGGAGGCUUGCUGGGCUGAAGAGAAAAGGAGGACUCUGCUGAACAGAGCCUGCAAUACUCUCUUCUCAAUUUUUAUCCCCAAAGCAUUUUAGAGGGAUGGGCUGAGGGGAAUAAUGGCAGAGCAUCGCAGCUGUGUCACCAAAACAUUCAGUUCUUGCUUCCAAAGCAAACAUCUGGACAGUCUGAGUUUCAGCCACCGUUAUUGAUAUUCAUAUUUUAACUCAAAGUACUUAAUAUAACUGAUAACUUAAUUAUAGAUUUCUUUGGGAUAGAAAUACGUCUUCAUAUUCAGUUUUCUGUUUUUCAGUGAUUGUAUUUUCCAUGAUAAUAUCACAUGUGAAUGUGGUUAUGGCAUUCCAGCUUCAUUCCACAGCAUGCUAUAUCCAUUUUCAUGUUUUCCUACUCGAAGAUUAGGCUAGUCAAGGAUUCAGUGUACUGAAUUCUGUGUUAAGUGCCAUAUAACAGGACAUCACAACAUGCUUUGGCAGGGAGUGACUGAAACUGGAGUUACAGAACAGCCUUUCCCCAGCAGAAAUUUCACUCUCUGGUGAUCAUCCCUCUUAAUAAAACAUGAAUCCCGUUAAUAAAGUGUACCACAUCAUCA